RNAcentral lists this ribosomal RNA (623 nucleotides) under Penicillium allii. Its description in RNAcentral is "eukaryotic LSU rRNA". The stretch from base 294 to 446 matches the Rfam family "5.8S ribosomal RNA". Lineage: Eukaryota; Fungi; Ascomycota; Eurotiomycetes; Eurotiales; Aspergillaceae. The record is from RNAcentral.
GCUUAGGAGGGUUGGCAACGACCCCCCAGAGCCGAAAACUUGGUCAAACUCGGUCAUUUAGAGGAAGUAAAAGUCGUAACAAGGUUUCUGUAGGUGAACUUGCGGAAGGAUCAUUACCGAGUGAGGGCCNUUUGGGUCCAACUUCCCACCCGUGUUUAUUUUACCUUGUUGCUUCGGCGGGCCCGCCUUUACUGGCCGCCGGGGGGCUUCACGCCCCCGGGCCCGCGCCCGCCGAAGACACCCUCGAACUCUGUCUGAAGAUUGAAGUCUGAGUGAAAAUAUAAAUUAUUUAAAACUUUCAACAACGGAUCUCUUGGUUCCGGCAUCGAUGAAGAACGCAGCGAAAUGCGAUACGUAAUGUGAAUUGCAAAUUCAGUGAAUCAUCGAGUCUUUGAACGCACAUUGCGCCCCCUGGUAUUCCGGGGGGCAUGCCUGUCCGAGCGUCAUUGCUGCCCUCAAGCCCGGCUUGUGUGUUGGGCCCCGUCCUCCGAUUCCGGGGGACGGGCCCGAAAGGCAGCGGCGGCACCGCGUCCGGUCCUCGAGCGUAUGGGGCUUUGUCACCCGCUCCGUAGGCCCGGCCGGCGCUUGCCGAUCAACCCAAAUUUUUAUCCAGGUUGACCUCG